RNAcentral lists this ribosomal RNA (1738 nucleotides) under human gut metagenome. RNAcentral describes it as "bacterial LSU rRNA". It matches the Rfam family "Bacterial large subunit ribosomal RNA", at positions 667 to 2420 of the family's 2925-position model. The record is from RNAcentral.
CGAAGCGAAAGCGAGUCUUAAGAGGGCGAAAGUUGCAUGCAGUAGACCCGAAACCGGGUGAUCUAGCCAUGACCAGGUUGAAGUUGGGGUAAAACCCGAUGGAGGACCGAACCGACCCCCGUUGAAACGUUGGCGGAUGAGUUGUGGCUAGGGGUGAAAUUCCAAUCGAACCCGGAGAUAGCUGGUUCUCCCCGAAAUAGCUUUAGGGCUAGCGUCGAGGUAGAGAGUUGCGUGAAGGUAGAGCACUGAAUAUGUGAUGGCCCCAUCUCGGGGUACUGAGCAUAAUCAAACUGCGAAUGUCACGGAAACAUACUCGGCAGUCAGACAGCGGGUGAUAAGGUCCGUUGUCAAGAGGGAAACAGCCCAGACCAUCAGCUAAGGUCCCAAAAUGUAUGCUAAGUGGAAAAGGAUGUGGAGAUGUACAGACAACUAGGAGGUUGGCUCAGAAGCAGCCAUCCUUUAAAGAGUGCGUAACAGCUCACUAGUCGAAUGACUCUGCGCCGAUAAUUUACCGGGGCUAAGCAUACUACCGAAGCUAUGGAUCCCAAGGGAUGGUAGGGGAGCGUUCCAUGAACGGAGAAGCGCGAUCGAGAGGACGCGUGGAGAUCAUGGAAGAGAGAAUGCCGGUGUGAGUAGCGGAACGUGGGUGAGAAUCCCACGCACCGAAAACCCAAGGUUUCCAGAGGAAGGUUCGUCCGCUCUGGGUAAGUCGGGACCUAAGGCGAGGCCGAAAGGCGUAGUCGAUGGACAACAGGUAGAGAUUCCUGUACCCGUAUAUAUGUGAAGGAAUGACGGAGAGAGGAAGCUGCAGCCAGCGGCUGGAAGAGCUGGUGCAAGCGAGAUAUCGGGAUGGCAGGCAAAUCCACCAUCCGAAACGAGAAGGCGUGAAGCGUACGGAAAGCUACGGCGAGUACGGAAGGCAGUGGAGGAACUUCCAAGAAAAGUUUCUAACGUUAAGUAUAUAUGGCCCGUACCGAAAAUGGACACACAUGGGUGAGGAGAGAAUCCUAAGGUGAGCGAGAGAACUAUAGCUAAGGAACUCUGCAAAAUGACUCCGUAACUUAGGGAGAAGGAGUGCUCAUAGAGAUAUGAGCCGCAGUGAAACGGCCCAAGCGACUGUUUACCAAAAACACAGCUCUCUGCUAAGCCGCAAGGCGAAGUAUAGGGGGUGACGCCUGCCCGGUGCUGGAAGGUUAAGGGGAGGGGUUAACGCAAGUGAAGCCCUGAACUGAAGCCCCAGUAAACGGCGGCCGUAACUAUAACGGUCCUAAGGUAGCGAAAUUCCUUGUCAGGUAAGUUCUGACCCGCACGAAAGGCGUAACGAUUUGGGCGCUGUCUCAGCUGUAGACUCGGUGAAGUCUUAGUACCUGUGAAGAUGCAGGUUACCCGCGACUAGACGGAAAGACCCCAUGGAGCUUCACUGCAGGUUGAUAUUGGGAUUUGAUGCAGCAUGUACAGGAUAGGUAGGAGGCAAAGAGAUGGAUACGCCAGUAUUCAAGGAGCCGCUGUUGGGAUACUACCCCUGUUGUAUUGGAUUUCUAACCGGACGACGUAGAGCCGUUGACGGGACAGUGUCAGUCGGGCAGUUUGACUGGGGCGGUCGCCUCCCAAAGAGUAACGGAGGCGCCCAAAGAUACCCUCAGCUUGGAUGGAAACCAAGCGCAGAGUGCAAAGGCAAAAGGGUGUUUGACUGCGAGACCCACAAGUCGAGCAGGGACGAAAGUCGGGCUUAGUGAUC